GCGCCCGUAGCUCAACUGGAUAGAGCGCUACCCUCCGGAGGUAGAGGUUACAGGUUCGACCCCUGUCGGGCGCA
Molecule: transfer RNA, 74 nt
Filed under: Candidatus Omnitrophota bacterium
Lineage: Bacteria; Pseudomonadati; Candidatus Omnitrophota
Description: tRNA-Arg
Rfam family: tRNA
About the family: Transfer RNA (tRNA) molecules are approximately 80 nucleotides in length. Their secondary structure includes four short double-helical elements and three loops (D, anti-codon, and T loops).
Source: RNAcentral